CAUGCGCUUGUAGUCGUGCAUCUUCCAGUGAGGGAAUUAAGGACGGCACGUUGUCCUUGUAACGGGGAUCCAGCAGGCUGGCAACCCAGUAAUCAGCACAAGUUAGAAUGUGGGCAACUCGGCAGUCGUUGCGCAGGCACUUUGGUGACUCUAGAUAACCUCCCGCCGAUCGCACGUCCCCGUGACGGCGACGACACAUUCAGAUGUCUGCCCUAUCAACUUUCGAUGGUACUUUCUGCGCCUACCUCGGUGACCACGAGUAACAGGGAAUCAGGGUUCGAUUCCGGAGAGGGAGCCUGAGAAAGGCUACCACAUCCAAGGAAGGCAGCAGGCGCGCAAAUUACCCACUCCAGACGCGGGGAUGUAGUGACAUG
Non-coding RNA from Pelobates cultripes (western spadefoot toad), 374 nucleotides. The record is from the annotation of a GenBank genome assembly. NCBI's taxonomy places the organism in Eukaryota, Metazoa, Chordata, Amphibia, Anura, Pelobatidae.